GAAGGUUCUAAAAAGAGAAGAGAGAGGAUUUGAUUUCCAUUUUAAAAGAGCAAUCUCGUUGCUAUGUGGCAAGUGAGGACUGCAGUGGGGAGACAAUGAAUUCAGGAAAACCAGACAAGAGGCUAUUUUUGUAAUUCAGGUGAAUGAUGAUGAAGGGUGACCUGUAACUAAACUAGGAACAGUCUAGGUGGUGAGAAAGACACAGAUGCAGGAUAUAUUUUGGAGCAUCUUUCAAGAACUGAAAACAAUUUAACAACGUUAUCACAAACGUGGACAUUUAUUUCAUCAAAUAUGAGAGGUGACUUCCACCAUUGGGGCAAACGGACCUGGAAAUGCCGAGAUGUCCCAGGAAGUCUGGAGCUGAUGGAGCCCGCUUCCAUCUCACCAAGACCUUAAAUACAAUACACAGUCCCCGCUGCAAAUCCAUUCCCAUCCGUGCUUUGAGACGGAAGGAGGGAAAUUGCAACUAUUUACAGCAACCGCCAUCUGAGCAAGGACUGAGUCAUGCAGUACCUCGGGAAAGCUAGGUUGGAAACCCUUGUCAACAUGCAGUCAAGUCUAUGGUUAGAACUGGCCAGAGUGCGCCCUGCAUCUGCGGGAGGGUCCCGGGGCCGUCUCGAAUUUGUUUUUUUUUUGUUUGUUUGUUUGUCUGUUGUUUUUUUUAGCCCUCUCUCUAAGGGCUAAGGAUUCCAUCGAGGUAAGGAAUGGGCGGGAAUGAGUCCUCAGCUGGCGCGCCGGGGGAGCGCGGCUGGGAGCAGCGGGGCCACAGCUCGGCGGUGUGGAUCCUCCCCCUGCCCGCCCAGAGCCGACCCGGGGCUGGAAGUCCGGGGCAGCCUGCGAGGCUGCAGUGUGGCACGCACCAGCUCCCGGCGGCGUCCUCUCCCCCGCCGCGCGCAGUAAUGGAUCUCUGCGUCCUAAAAGAGGAAGAUAAUGCCGGGGUUAGCUUAUAAAUAGAUGGUUGCAUGCUCUCCCUGCGAAGCAUUGAUUGAGGCCGCUAAGCUGACUAUUGAUCUAAUUUUAACUUACAUGUUCGCACGCACCCUUCCCGCCUCCCUGUCGCGGCUUGGCGGAGCGCGGGGCACGCUGUCUCUCGCGGCCGCCAGAGGGCGGGCCACUAGUCCUCCCGCCACCCUGCCCGUCUGGCCUCUCUGUUUACGCAGACGUACAAUGCUGGCCUUUAUUGGGUUUGAAAAAAUAGGAGUUUGAUUUUCCUGCACCGGGAUGACCUCAUCAUUCAUGAAAGUCGGAGGAAAGCGGGGAAUCGGAUGACAGGCAGCCGGGAAAAUAAAGCUUGCAUUUCACCUCCGCCUACUUCACCACCUACACAGAGCACUCGGGAUGUGCUCCUCAUUUUAAAACCACCUUGCUGAAGCGGGGAAGUGGGGGAGGCACUAGGAGUGGAAUGUUAAAUUCUUCUUGGUACUCUGGCACUCGGUGUGCAGCGGCUUCUGUUUAGAAGGUUAAUGUCACCUACUCUCUGCCUACAGAGCCUCUUGUAAGGGCGCUCUCCUGAACUGUCACUAAAUGCCAGUGCAACAAUUUUAUUGUUGACUUGACUAACAUAUUACUAAUUAUUUCUAGGCAGAAUUCAUCUUGCCAAAGUUUAAGCAAUGGUCAUCAGCAAUUUUAUACUGCUGGCUUGUAAAUUUCGAAUCCGCUUAUGGCUUCAAAUGAGUAAGGUAGAGAAUUAGAAUCUAUCAUAGUUUUGCUUGCCGCCUUUUGGGACCACAGCACAUCAGGAUGGGGGUAUAGGGUAAAGUAAAUGAGACGGAAAGGGAGACAGAAGACAAAGAAAGAUGCCUCCCCUGAAAUUCCCCAGCCCUAGAACUCAGCACGUGAACAAACUUUCCUCUGGGAUUGAGUGAAACCUAUUAAUAGGAGUCAAUGUUUAUCAGACACUUGCUGUGUCCCAGACAUUGUACUAACUGUUUUAUAUUUGUUACUUCAUUAAAUUCUGAAGACAACCUA
This is a long non-coding RNA of Macaca mulatta (Rhesus monkey), 1968 nucleotides long. Lineage: Eukaryota; Metazoa; Chordata; Mammalia; Primates; Cercopithecidae. The record is from Ensembl.